GGGCAGUUAGCUCAGUCGGUUGAGCGCAGUGCUGAAAAAACUGAGGUCACGGGUUCGAUUCCCGCUCGGUCCC
This 73-nucleotide transfer RNA is filed under the name Apaloderma vittatum (bar-tailed trogon). It matches the Rfam family "tRNA". Rfam says of the family: Transfer RNA (tRNA) molecules are approximately 80 nucleotides in length. Their secondary structure includes four short double-helical elements and three loops (D, anti-codon, and T loops). The record is from Rfam by way of RNAcentral. Lineage: Eukaryota; Metazoa; Chordata; Aves; Trogoniformes; Trogonidae.